AAAAAUUUCGACUAAAACUUCUAAUUUGCAGCUAAUACAAAAUGGAUUGAUUUCGUUUUGCUGCAAAUUAGAAGUCUUAGUGACAAAAAUCAUUUACAUUACUGGUAAGUGGCGAGGAGAAAAAGUCAACUCGCUCACUAGGAUGCCCAGACUGUUCCCUAACUCAAACUUUAAUUGUAGCCAUUGUGUGUCAUAAUUUUAAAUUUUGGCGGAAAAUAGUCAAGUAAAAUCAUAAAGAAUGGGGCAUUCUGAGAAUUCCGGUGAUAGGCGUGGCUCUGGUGAUCGUGAUUUUUGCCUGGGUGUUUGUGGUGGUAGCACGUGGCGGCUUAUUUCCAUAAGGUGACGUAUUAUCACCAUCUUGUAAAGUUACAUAUAAAUCACCGGUCGGUGAUAAUCCGGUGAUAAAAUUUCUUAGAGUGUUUUUAAAGGAUAGUUUUAUUGUGAGAAAAUUAAUUUAAUUUUGAAUUCUGGCGGGGAUAUAACCAGGCAUCUAUUAUAAUCUACAUAAUUGAUAACCUUGACAACCCCUAUUAUUAAUUAUUUAAUUAAAUAACGUUCCGUUUUUGUGAGAAAAAGAUGAUAAGCAUAUAUCACUAGAUAAGUGUUAUAUUUUAUGAGAAGCGUUCCUUAACUGAGUGGACGGAGCGCGCCUUUUAAUUCCUUCUCUAUUAGUUAGUUAGUUAGUUCAAAUGGUAAUGGCGGUACGGCGGGAUUUUUAAAAAACAAAAGUUGUGACGAUGACCACUACACGGCGUCUCUCUCUCAAUUAAAUUCAAACAUUUCCCGCGCUGUCUACCGCCACAGAAGAAGAAGACUCGAGUACAACGAAUAUUUUCAUGUCAUACAAGUAUUUUUCCGUUCAUGUUAGUUAAAUAUUUAAAUGAGGGGCGGGAGAAAAAUGCUAGGUUUACGCGUAAUUUAUGUAAAUCUCUGUGUGUCUCUCUCUCUUUUUAAGCAGGGAGAAAUUAUACGACCAAGCUUUACAUUUUAUAAGGCGUUAUAAACAUAUAUCAUAAAAAAGAAAGUGACGAAAAUGUGUUACGUAA
Folsomia candida is the source of this 1046-nucleotide long non-coding RNA. RefSeq lists it as uncharacterized. The record is from RefSeq and is a predicted model, not a curated record. NCBI's taxonomy places the organism in Eukaryota, Metazoa, Arthropoda, Collembola, Entomobryomorpha, Isotomidae. The transcript is spliced from 2 exons.